CAUUAGAUGACUGAAAGCAAGUACUGGUCUCUUAAACAAAUUAAUAGUAAAUUAGCGCCUACUUCUAAUGA
Molecule: transfer RNA, 71 nt
Filed under: Bactrocera minax (Chinese citrus fly)
Lineage: Eukaryota; Metazoa; Arthropoda; Insecta; Diptera; Tephritidae
Description: tRNA-Lys
Source: RNAcentral